GAACCGACUGGUUCUGAUGAUGGAUGUUUAUCCAAAAGAUACUUACUAGGCUUUGACCCAUUAGUGGCCAUCUUGUAACUGACCCAUUAGGGUUUAUGACAUUGUAACUCCCUAUAUAAGGAGUUCAUAUUCGACAUUAAUAAGACACACAUUCACAACACGUUAUCAGCACGAGCUAAGCUCAAAACCCUAGCAAAAUUCGUAGGUCACCAAAAACCUUAAAAACUAGCCGCAUCUUAAAACAAUCAUAUCUCCCUAACCGUAACGACCUAGACGGCGAGCCACCUAUCAAUCUGAAGAUCUCGACGAGACGAAGCCAGCGCCGCUAACCUCGCGAGGAUCCGAUCUCCGACGCGCUGACACGCUCUGUUUUAGUACGUGCCGUCAAUUGCUCAAGAACCCUAAUUUUGACGCAACUUCAAAUCGAUCGUUCUCUCAAACCAUAACGAUCCAAACAACGUGCGAUAUACCAACUUGAAGAUCUUGAAGAGAAGAAUCCAUAGCCGGAAACCUCGCGUCAAUCAGAUCUCAGACGCCCCGCCAAUCUCUGUUUUAGUGCGCGCCGUCAAUUGCACAAAAACCCUAAUUUUGAUUCAAUUUCAAAUCGAUCGUUCUCCCAAACCGUAACGAUCCAGAAAACGUGCGACAUAUCAAUUUGAAGAUCUGGACGAGGAGAAUCCAGCGCCGCAGACCGCGCCGCGAUCAGAUCAUAGACGCGCCCUCACCGCCAUCUACAAGCCGCGCCGUCAAAAGAAAACCUAAGGCUGUUAACUUCUCUUUCUAGUUUGUUUAUAGCCGAUUUAUUAUUUGAUCUUACUAACUUCCUUUCAUCAAUUUGUUUAAGGAAAACAAAGGAUCAAAUCUAAUCAGAUCAAUUGAGGUUGAGAUUUCCAAAGGAACCAAGGAGCAAAUCGAGAUCUAAAAGUUAUAACAUUGGAUCCAUACAUGGAUAGAUCUCAAACAAGCAGUAUGCACACGUUGGAAAACAAAUAUGAAGAAGUACGAGUCCAACCAAAGACAUGUCAACCGGCUUCUUCACCAUGUCUACAACAGCACCACGUCCAUGGGACCUUCCUAUCAAUCCAGGACGUGCACAUUAGAAGAUCAGCUCAGAGACUUGGCGCCCAUGGAGUUACCACCAGUCUACUCAUGUGCCAACCUCAGGAGCAUAUACGGAGGUACAAAUCAGGGGAAGUGAUACAUGUUGUACUCUUUUUCCUUCACUAUGGUUUUGUCCCACUGGGUUUUCCUGGUAAGGUUUUAAUGAGGCAACACCAAGUAAUUGGUAAAGUGUAUCACGAGCCCAAAAAGGAUUUGGUAUCUGGCGAACUCAAGAUGGAUUCAACAUCCAGGGGAAGUGUUAUGAACCGACUGGUUCUGAUGAUGGAUGUUUAUCCAAAAGAUACUUACUAGGCUUUGACCCAUUAGUGGCCAUCUUGUAACUGACCCAUUAGGGUUUAUGACAUUGUAACUCCCUAUAUAAGGAGUUCAUAUUCGACAUUAAUAAGACACACAUUCACAACAU
This is a long non-coding RNA of Raphanus sativus (radish), 1525 nucleotides long. RefSeq lists it as uncharacterized. The transcript has 2 exons. The record is from RefSeq and is a predicted model, not a curated record. NCBI's taxonomy places the organism in Eukaryota, Viridiplantae, Streptophyta, Magnoliopsida, Brassicales, Brassicaceae.